Molecule: long non-coding RNA, 623 nt
Filed under: Rattus norvegicus (Norway rat)
Lineage: Eukaryota; Metazoa; Chordata; Mammalia; Rodentia; Muridae
Description: long non-coding RNA NONRATT033881
Source: RNAcentral
GCAGAUAGUUUUUGCAAUUGUGUGAUGUUUGGAAUUCUGGGGACUUUUCAGAAGGUAAAUGCUAGGGCUCCAAAAGGCAGAGUGGGUUGUUGCUUGGUUGUUGCUGGUUGUAGAUGAUUGUUUCAGUGGAGGUUUGUUAAGUAGUCACGAGCAAAGAAAAAACAACAAGAAAUUACAUCAAACUUGCCUAAAGGAACUCAACAAUGUUGCCCCCUUUCAGGGAUCUCUUUCCUUUCUCCUCUAUUUUUUUUCUCCUAUACAGUGUUAGGGGCUUGAAAAGGUGGAAGAAAAAGGGUGGGAGAGAGAAGAACCCACAAAGUAGGCAAAGACUGGCUACAUAACUCAAUGCAGCUUGUAUGCACACAGUAUAUAUACAUAAAAUAAAAAUAUUAAAAAAGAAAAAAGUAAAUUAUUUCAUAGGGGUUAGAGAGAUGGCUUAGUGGUCAAGAGCACUGGUGCUCUUCCAAAGGACCCAAGUUUAAUUCCCAGUAUGGUAGUUCACAACCAUCUCUAACUCCAAUUCCAGAGAUAGAACACUCUUGUCUGGUCUCUGUGGGUGCACACAUGUGGCACACAUUCACAGACACAUACAUCCAUUUAAAUAAAACAUUUUAAAAAUCUUA